RNAcentral lists this ribosomal RNA (411 nucleotides) under uncultured bacterium. RNAcentral's name for it is "bacterial SSU rRNA". It matches the Rfam family "Bacterial small subunit ribosomal RNA", at positions 355 to 779 of the family's 1533-position model. The record is from RNAcentral.
UGGGGAAUCUUGCACAAUGGGCGGAAGCCUGAUGCAGCGACGCCGCGUGCGGGACGAAGGCCUUCGGGCUGUAAACCGCUUUCAGCAGGGACGAGGCGAGAGUGACGGUACCUGCAGAAGAAGCCCCGGCUAACUACGUGCCAGCAGCCGCGGUAAUACGUAGGGGGCAAGCGUUAUCCGGAUUCAUUGUGCGUAAAGCGCGCGUAGGCGGCCAGCCUGGUCGGGAGUCAAAUCCGGGGGCUCAACCCCCGUCCGCUCCCGAUACCGGCCGGCUUGAGUCUGGCAGGGGAAGGCGGAAUUCCCGGUGUAGCGGUGGAAUGCGCAGAUAUCGGGAAGAACACCGGUGGCGAAGGCGGCCUUCUGGGCCACGACUGACGCUGAGGCGCGAAAGCUAGGGGAGCGAACAGGAUU